CAGGGAGACAACAAAAUGUUAAAUAUUAAUUUUGUCACCUUAGGUCGAUCGGUACCUCACAUUCUUAAUUUUUAAGAAUUUUAUUUCCUAAGUUUUUUCUAGGUCACACCCAUUACUUUUCCUGGGCCAUUAGCUCAGGUGGUUAGAGCGCACCCCUGAUAAGGGUGAGGUCCCUGGUUCAAGUCCAGGAUGGCCCAUAUCUCUAUGUUGGGGGUAUAGCUCAGUUGGUAGAGCGCCUGCUUUGCAAGCAGGAUGUCAGCGGUUCGAGUCCGCUUACCUCCACUGAUUACCACCUCUUCCAUAUUCUGUAGAAGGGAAAUGUUUUGAGUUGUGAUCAAAUUCUGAACGAUUCUAGCUUCCUAAUUUAACUCAUUAAGAUGCUGGAUUCAUUGAAUUAAAUUCAUUGUUUUCAGAGAACCUUGACAACUGCAUAGAUUAUUUUUAAAGACAAUAAGCAUCUUUAAUGAUGCAGAUUUAUUAUUUGUGCUAAAGCAUUAAUAACAAUUCUAUUAAGCUGAUGCUUCAAUUUUUGAAGUUAUU
This 540-nucleotide transfer RNA is filed under the name uncultured cyanobacterium. RNAcentral describes it as "partial miscellaneous RNA". The stretch from base 210 to 282 matches the Rfam family "tRNA". The record is from RNAcentral. Lineage: Bacteria; Bacillati; Cyanobacteriota.